Long non-coding RNA from Hemicordylus capensis (graceful crag lizard), 928 nucleotides. RefSeq lists it as uncharacterized. The record is from RefSeq and is a predicted model, not a curated record. NCBI's taxonomy places the organism in Eukaryota, Metazoa, Chordata, Lepidosauria, Squamata, Cordylidae. The transcript has 3 exons.
AGUGGUGAUUCUCUUUAUUUAGCAGUGGGAGACAAACUGGCCCUUUCCAACCCCAGCAUAGCGUCCCUUGUCCCCCCCGCGGCCCCCGCUCCCCUAAAGAUUGUUUGUGAGCCCUUUUGGGACAAUGAGCUUUACUUACUUAUUGAUUUAUUUGUAAACUGCUUUGGGAAUUUUAGUUGAAAAGUGGUAUCUAAAUGUUUGUUGUAUUCAUAAGAGGCUUCUUGGCAAGUCCUGCUGGUAUCUCCUAGCCCAGAAAUGGUAGCUUCACACUGACACCACACUUCCUCCUCCUCCUCUCCCUCUUGCUAUUUUAAAAAGCAGGAAAAGAGGAGAAGAUGAAUUAUGAAGGAGAGGAGAGUGUAGGCUAGAAUGUGGAGAUGCUGUGGUCCCCACUCCCCAUUUCUACUUCUGGCCUCUUCCCUUUUUACAAUAGUGCAUGAUAAAGAGGUGGGGCAGAGUCAGCCAUCACAUAAGAAAGAGAGUGAGGAAGAGAAGGUCGCGCUGCUGGGAUGCUGCCAGGUGAUGUUAUAACAUAACUUUAAAGCCGUAAACAGUUUGGGCCCUGGAUACCUGAAGGACCACCUGCUCCCAAGGGAUUCUGCCUGCCCAACAAAACUAUCAACAGAGCCUUAAUAUCAGAGGAUCCCUAUUUAAGAGAUUUAACUAAGGCCUCAAUCAAGAUGUUGGCAGAACUAAGCAUUGAACACAGAUGGCCUGAGUCCUACCCACCCAAAUUCUGUCUUUUGAAGACAAGGUUAACAUUUGUUUUCCACAACAUUUGUGACUAAAAAGUGUACCAGCUGAAGGGUUUGCUGCAAAUAAAUGGAAUGGAAAAUACCAAACAUCUGUUCAUUUAUUUUAAAUGUAUAAUUUAUUGUGCCAGUAAAAAUAAUAUUACACACAAAGUUUUCAAGUUUUUAAUAGUUAA